GCUGACGAGUGGCGAACGGGUGAGUAAUGCAUCGGAACGUGCCCAAGUCGUGGGGAUAACGUAGCGAAAGUUACGCUAAUACCGCAUAAGCCCUGAGGGGGAAAGCAGGGGAUCGCAAGACCUUGCGCGAAUGGAGCGGCCGAUGUCAGAUUAGCUAGUUGGUGGGGUAAAGGCCUACCAAGGCGACGAUCUGUAGCGGGUCUGAGAGGAUGAUCCGCCACACUGGGACUGAGACACGGCCCAGACUCCUACGGGAGGCAGCAGUGGGGAAUUUUGGACAAUGGGCGCAAGCCUGAUCCAGCCAUGCCGCGUGCGGGACGAAGGCCUUCGGGUUGUAAACCGCUUUCAGCCGGAAAGAAAUCGCCAAGGCUAAUAUCCUUGGUGGAUGACGGUACCGGAAGAAGAAGCACCGGCUAACUACGUGCCAGCAGCCGCGGUAAUACGUAGGGUGCGAGCGUUAAUCGGAAUUACUGGGCGUAAAGGGUG
RNAcentral lists this ribosomal RNA (486 nucleotides) under uncultured bacterium. RNAcentral describes it as "bacterial SSU rRNA". It matches the Rfam family "Bacterial small subunit ribosomal RNA", at positions 87 to 569 of the family's 1533-position model. The record is from RNAcentral.